RNAcentral lists this ribosomal RNA (498 nucleotides) under uncultured bacterium. RNAcentral's name for it is "bacterial SSU rRNA". It matches the Rfam family "Bacterial small subunit ribosomal RNA", at positions 80 to 609 of the family's 1533-position model. The record is from RNAcentral.
CAAUCCAUGAGUACAGUGGCGUACGGGUGAGUAACACGUGACUAACCUACCCUCGAGUGGGGAAUAACUUCGGGAAACCGAGGCUAAUACCGCAUAACAUCUACGGAUCAAAUGCGCAAGCAGCUUGAGGAGGGGGUCGCGGCUGAUUAGCUAGUUGGCGGGGUAACGGCCCACCAAGGCAAUGAUCAGUACCCGGCCUGAGAGGGCGCACGGCCACACUGGAACUGAAACACGGUCCAGACUCCUACGGGAGGCAGCAGUGGGGAAUUUUGCGCAAUGGGGGAAACCCUGACGCAGCAACGCCGCGUGGAGGAUGAAGCCCCUUGGGGUGUAAACUCCUUUCGAUCGGGACGAUUAUGACGGUACCGGAUGAAAAAGCACCGGCUAACUCUGUGCCAGCAGCCGCGGUAAUUACAGAGGGUGCAAGCGUUGUUCGGAAUUAUUGGGCGUAAAGGGUGCGUAGGCGGUGCGGUAAGUCUUCUGUGAAACCUCCGGGCU